GAACGGAGGGAGGCACGUGGCGAGGGCUGCGGCCGGCUCGGUGGCCCUGGCCGGUCGGGGGCGGGCAGACGGUCCGGGUCAUGCCGGCAUCGCGCCCACAGCCCGGCCGUGCGGGCCCUCGGGGCGACCCGGUCGGUGCUCGCGAUCGGGAGCGGCCCCCGCUUUCAGGCUACUUCAUCCACAUGGCAGCGAGGGGGGGAGCGGGGGCACGGUCCCCCGGCGCCUCCCUACCACGCGGCGGGUAAUUAAAACAAACAAACAAACAAACAAACGAAGGAACAGAGAAGAGGCACGGGCCGAGCAGCGCUCAGCCGGCGGGGCUUCGCGGGGGCGGGGCGCGGGGCCGGCCCGGCGCAGAGGAAGGCGGCUGGCCGUCGCCCGGCCCCGCUCCGCCUCCCCCCCCCGGGCAAACAUUAACGAAGGGUAAACGCGGCUGUGUGCGAGGGGCUGUAAAUCAAUCCCGCCGCAAGGACGCGGCCGGCAAACAAGCGCGGCUCCCAGCGCCGGGGGCGGGCUGGGGGCCGCCCUCCCGCCUCACCGGGCCGGGGCACCUUGCGGAGGGGCCGCUGCCACCGCCCACGGUGCGCGGAGCCGGGCCCGGGCGGCCCGCGGGGCGGGGAGGGGCAGGCCCUUGCCCCCGGGCCCGCGCCGUGCUCGGGAUGGCGGCGGUGAAGCCCCCGGUCGAUGCCCCUCCGCCUCCCUGAUGCAAAUGCUUUUACGCAGAGUCCCCGCCGGUUAACCUGGCGAGAAUUCCUCGCCGGCUUCCCAAGCUUCCAGCUUAUCCAGGAUUCACGUUGGGAGGCAGGGAGCGAGAAAAAGAGGAGGGGAGAAAAAGACAUGCAUCUAUGGAAAACAGCAGCGGGGCGCGGGCAGGCGCCGAGCAGCUGCGGAGGAACAGGCCGGGCCACCCCCCACUCCCCGAGCCCCCACCGGCGAUCGCGGCUCCCCCGCGCCCCGGGGCGGGCUGGGGCAGCGGUGCGCGGUCGGGGAGGCAUCGGCAGCCCGCACACCCCCAGCCCCUUCCCGGAACCUUCCGCUGCCGCGUUUCUCCCUCGGGCGCUCCCCGCCGGACCGGCGCACACGGCUCCAAGCAGGUCUUUUUUUCCAAGCAGGUCAUUUUUCCCUGAACGAGUGGGGUUUCGCCUUCCUUAUCCCCUCCUGUCAGUGUGUCCCCGUGUCCCCCCCCCCCCCCCAAGAAUAUAACCCGAAAUAAAUUCCCCCUGCAGUCCCAGCAGGCUGCAAAGGGCUGUACAUUUUC
Falco peregrinus (peregrine falcon) is the source of this 1258-nucleotide long non-coding RNA. RefSeq lists it as uncharacterized. The record is from RefSeq and is a predicted model, not a curated record. Lineage: Eukaryota; Metazoa; Chordata; Aves; Falconiformes; Falconidae. The transcript is spliced from 2 exons.